ACAGGGAGACAGGUGGUGCAUGGUUGUCGUCAGCUCGUGUCGUGAGAUGUUGGGUUAAGUCCCGCAACGAGCGCAACCCCUACGUUUAGUUGCUAACGCGUGAAGGCGAGCACUCUAGACGAACUGCCGUUGACAAAACGGAGGAAGGUGGGAUGACGUCAAAUCAUCAUGCCCCUUAUGUUCUGGGCUACACACGUGCUACAAUGGCCGGUACAGACGGACGCAAAGCCGCGAGGUGGAGCAAAUCCUAAAAAGCCGGUCUCAGUUCGGAUUGCAGGCUGCAAUUCGCCUGCAUGAAGUCGGAAUCGCUAGUAAUCGCAGGUCAGCAUACUGCGGUGAAUACGUUCCCGGGCCUU
RNAcentral lists this ribosomal RNA (356 nucleotides) under uncultured Pelotomaculum sp. RNAcentral describes it as "bacterial SSU rRNA". It matches the Rfam family "Bacterial small subunit ribosomal RNA", at positions 1026 to 1382 of the family's 1533-position model. The record is from RNAcentral. Lineage: Bacteria; Bacillati; Bacillota; Clostridia; Eubacteriales; Desulfotomaculaceae.